CUUGAGUGGAAUGUUGUCUGGUUCAAGGUCUAGCUCUGUGGUUUGAGGAUGAUUUGCGCAAAGUUUUUCAUUCCUCUCAUCAUUGGGAUCUCGGACCAGGCUUCAUUCCCCUCAAA
RNAcentral lists this microRNA precursor (116 nucleotides) under Leersia perrieri. Its description in RNAcentral is "pre miRNA mir-166". It matches the Rfam family "mir-166 microRNA precursor family". From Rfam's summary of the family: This family represents the plant microRNA (miRNA) precursor mir-166. Animal miRNAs are transcribed as ~70nt precursors and subsequently processed by the Dicer enzyme to give a ~22nt product. The record is from Rfam by way of RNAcentral. Lineage: Eukaryota; Viridiplantae; Streptophyta; Magnoliopsida; Poales; Poaceae.